This 409-nucleotide RNase P RNA is filed under the name Methylorubrum rhodinum. Its description in RNAcentral is "Methylobacterium rhodinum Bacterial RNase P class A". It matches the Rfam family "Bacterial RNase P class A". From Rfam's summary of the family: Ribonuclease P (RNase P) is a ubiquitous endoribonuclease, found in archaea, bacteria and eukarya as well as chloroplasts and mitochondria. Its best characterised activity is the generation of mature 5'-ends of tRNAs by cleaving the 5'-leader elements of precursor-tRNAs. Cellular RNase Ps are ribonucleoproteins. The record is from Rfam by way of RNAcentral. Lineage: Bacteria; Pseudomonadati; Pseudomonadota; Alphaproteobacteria; Hyphomicrobiales; Methylobacteriaceae.
UCAGCCGGCCGGGCAGCCGCUCCGCGUCAGCGGGGAGGAAAGUCCGGGCUCCAUGGAGAGGCGGUGCCGGAUAACCUCCGGCGGGGGCGACCCCAGGGACAGUGCCACAGAGAGCAGACCGCCCCGCAGGGACACGCGUCCUGUCGGGGUAAGGGUGAAAGGGUGCGGUAAGAGCGCACCGCGGACGCGGCAACGCGGACGGCACGGCAAACCCCACCGGGAGCAAAACCGAAUAGGGGCGACACGCCCUUCCCCGCGGGGGAGGGCAGGCCCGCUCUCCAGGCCCGUCGCCCGGGUUGGUUGCUCGAGGCGGUCGGCAACGGCCGUCCCAGAGGAAUGGCUGCCACGCUCGACAACUCUUCGAGUUGUUUGGGCCCUACAGAACCCGGCUUACAGGCCGGCUGAUCCA